Molecule: long non-coding RNA, 2097 nt
Filed under: Gallus gallus (chicken)
Lineage: Eukaryota; Metazoa; Chordata; Aves; Galliformes; Phasianidae
Description: lncRNA (ENSGALG00010008765.1)
Source: RNAcentral
ACUUUAUAUUGAAUUAUGUAUAAGGACACUAACAUCUUACACAACUCAGAUGUGAGGCAUGAGUGUUGAGGACUAUUUAAGAUGCUUGCAAGGGUUUAAUGUUCAAUUUCGGUUAAAUUUGUGUUAAGCUUGUACAUCAGGCUCCCAGAUCUACUUCUGCUCUACUGCUUUUAGUGCUGUUGUAUGGGGUUGUUUUAUCCAAAGUGCAGGACUCUGGAUGUGUGACAUCUUAUCAAUGUCCCUUCAAUCAAUAUUUAGCUCAGUGUAAUCUGUGGCUUGCUAUUGGAUGGAGAACAUACCUGUCAUACUACUGACCAUUGGUGUUGAGAUGUACUUGAGAAGUAGUUAUGGAAGGCAUAGUACUGUUUCUUUUAAGCAUCCCAAGUAAUUGGGUAUGUGAGGAAUCAUUUAAACUUUUACAAACUGGCAAUGGUUUUCCUUUAAAAACUUUUUUUAUUGUGCAUUGAAUAUUUAGGAGUACAGUAUGUACUGUGACUAGUGCAAAAGAAUAUAGUUGUCUUUUCUUUCCAAUAUGCAUUUCAUUUGUGUGAAAGGAAUUUCACUUCCAUCUGUGAAAAGAUACCUUUUCCAUGAUUUUAAAGUGCUUUAAGGUCUUCACAAAGAUGUGAUGUGAUGAUUGCCUCACCACAACUAAAGCAUUUUUUUAACCAUGCAGUUAAAAACUUGUUUUUGUAUAUGAAUAGAGGUUGUCAUUUAGUUGUUGCCUUUGUGAUUUUUAUGCUCUCUGCAUAUUUCACUUUGUUGUAAGUAAAUUCCUUUUAGUACAUCCAGAGUUUCUGAAGUUACAUAGCCAAUGUGGCAUCUAAGCCCUACUAAUUACAGCUGUUUUUCAAAACUGUCCGAUUCAGGAAAUGAUAAAUGCAGCUGAGUUAGUCUUUUGAGAUCUCUUGCCUUGGGGGUAACACCCAAAGUUUCUUUGCUGUGAGGACAGUGACGUGGGGCUUCUUCAAAUUUGUCUUCUGUCUUUUUUGCACUGUUAACAGGUACAAAACAAAGAAAUGAAGAUGUGUAAGACAAUACCUACAUUCAUCCUGUUGUUUACAGGUGAGUGAAAAUUUCUUUUUUCUUUUUCUUUUCUCAGCUUUACUUUCUCUUCAAUACUUUCAGUUUUUCUUUGAAGAUAUUCCUGUGUUUUUUCUAUCUGGUAACUAAUAUGAGUCGAUGUAUAAAUCAUUAUAGAUUCAUUUAAGGUGUUUCUCUGUGCAUUAUUACUCUUUCCCACAUGGAAGAUUACCUUAGCUACAUCUCUGUUGAUAAAAUAAAGUUCACUUAAAAAGCAUGAACGUACUUUGCCAUAUAAAUUUCUGCAGCACCUCUAAUAAUCAACCUUGAAGAGUAAGUCAGUCUGCUGUAUUUAAAGAAACCCCUUGCAGAAAUUUUCACUGUAAUACCUUUUCAUUGGCAAAAAAAAAAAAAAAUAGGAUUGAAGUUGUGCAAACAGACUUCUUUAAAACUUGGUCAUGCUAAAGGCAGCAAUAGACCAAUGAUUUAAGAAGGUGCUGGGAGGUGUUGAGGGGAAAGUGGUUAAUGGACCUUCUUAUCACGAGAGCACACACGCUCACCAGCUUGGCCAACAAUUUAUGCUAUCUUUCUUCAAAGGAGUUAAUGGAGAUAUGUGUAUCUUUAAGCACAUUCUGUGGAGCUGUGCUCUACUUGGCAGAGUCCUGUGAAAGCUUCAGUGACAAGGCAAACUUUUCUCCUAACUACUGAGCAACUUAAACUCAUCGCUGGAGAGAGGCAGCCUCCUCCUCUGAGUACUGCUUGGUUUUUUUUUGUUUAAUUGCAGUGUCAUGGGCACCCGCUUACAGAGAAGCUCUGGAGGUUAUGCUAUAAUGCUAGGAAGAACUUUUAAGUUAACAGGGGCUCACAGGAGAUGAGAGUUAUGUAAGAUGUUUGAGGAUGCACUUUUUGAACUUGCAUAUUCGUCUAAGAAUAUCACGUGCCACUGCUUUGUUGCUCUUUCAUAGUCAAUUAUUUCCUCUGUGGAACCUCCUGAAACGCCACUGGUUAAACUUAACUUCCACAGAAGAGGUUUUCUUUUGUUUUUAGUGUCACAACUGUGACAGUGCAAGAAAG